Molecule: ribosomal RNA, 400 nt
Filed under: bacterium enrichment culture clone ALO1_GLFRUDD03GE0IS
Lineage: Bacteria
Description: bacterial SSU rRNA
Rfam family: Bacterial small subunit ribosomal RNA
Source: RNAcentral
GAGUUUGAUCUUGGCUCAGAUUGAACGCUGGCGGCAUGCCUUACACAUGCAAGUCGAACGGCAGCACGGGAGCUUGCUCCUGGUGGCGAGUGGCGAACGGGUGAGUAAUGCAUCGGAACGUAUCCUGGAGUGGGGGAUAACGUAGCGAAAGUUACGCUAAUACCGCAUAUUCUGUGAGCAGGAAAGCGGGGGACCUUCGGGCCUCGCGCUCUUGGAGCGGCCGAUGUCGGAUUAGCUAGUUGGUGAGGUAAAGGCUCACCAAGGCGACGAUCCGUAGCAGGUCUGAGAGGAUGAUCUGCCACACUGGAACUGUGACACGGUCCAGACUCCUACGGGAGGCAGCAGUGGGAAUUUUGGACAAUGGGGGCAACCCUGAUCCAGCCAUGCCGCGUGAGUGAAG